Molecule: long non-coding RNA, 307 nt
Filed under: Elaeis guineensis (African oil palm)
Lineage: Eukaryota; Viridiplantae; Streptophyta; Magnoliopsida; Arecales; Arecaceae
Description: long non-coding RNA (EGUI_LNC036615)
Source: RNAcentral
CUUUUGACCCCUGUGUUUAGGACGACUCAGGGUUAAACUGUCAACCCUGAUGAGAUCAUCCAAAUCGUGCUCAACUCAAUUAGUCCUGUGACUCCUCACUAGGACUACCCUGACCAAGGUUUUACUAAAUUGAAAUACGACUGUACACAGCUCCUAAACUGGAGUGGUCAAUCCCAUCUUGACACACGCACCGACAAGUCAAGUACUUGACUACACCCAGCAGCCUUCCAUCACUGAAUUAGAAAUUCAGGUAGUCCAGUGCCUAAGUGUAGUGAGUUGCUUGCAAGUCACCGUGGCGGUCUCAGGU